AUAUUUAAUCAGAUCACAAAGAAAUCUUAUUAUAUAAAGUAUGGUUUUCAAAGUUGCUAACUCAUAGGAUUGUGCCACGUGUCAAGUCAAACGAUCAGAUGUUUACAUGUGUCAUUCAAAAUUUAACUUUUUAAUUCUCUAAGAAAAUAGAAAAUCUUAAAAAGUAAACAAAUUUACAUAUACUAAUUUAUAUGUCUAUAUAUUUAUAAACAAUUAACAUUUAUUCAACAAAAGGAAAAUUAACAAAUUUGUCUUUAACUCAUGUAAUCAUAAGUGAAAAUAGAACAUUUUGAGAAAAAUAGCUUAGCUUACAGGAUUUAACUUUUCAAUUAUUUUUAUUUAUUAAUUUUAACUCAUUUAAUAUUAAUUUGCAUGAUGUAAAAUUAACUUACGAGAUUACGGCAUAUAUAGAAAAUAUAUUUUCAACAAUGUUUGGUUUCUAAAUAUUUUUGUGGAUUUUU
This 461-nucleotide small RNA is filed under the name Arabidopsis thaliana (thale cress). Its description in RNAcentral is "ATSL291100". The record is from RNAcentral. Lineage: Eukaryota; Viridiplantae; Streptophyta; Magnoliopsida; Brassicales; Brassicaceae.